AUACGUAGGGGGCAAGCGUUAUCCGGAUUUACUGGGUGUAAAGGGAGCGCAGACGGCUAUGUAAGUCUGAAGUGAAAGCCCGCGGCUCAACCGCGGGACUGCUUUGGAAACUAUGUAGCUUGAGUGUCGGAGAGGUAAGCGGAAUUCCAAGUGUAGCGGUGAGAUGCGUAGAUAUUUGGAAGAACACCGGUGGCGAAGGCGGCUUACUGGACGAUAACUGACGUUGAGGCUCGAAGGCGUGGGGAGCAAACAGGAUUAGAUCCCCUGGUAGUCCACGCGGUAAACGAUGAAUACUAGGUGUCGGUGCCCAAAGGGUAUCGGUGCCGUCGCAAACGCAGUAAGUAUUCCACCUGGGGAGUACGUUCGCAAGAAUGAAACUCAAAUGAAUUGACGGGG
This 396-nucleotide ribosomal RNA is filed under the name uncultured bacterium. RNAcentral describes it as "partial 16S ribosomal RNA". It matches the Rfam family "Bacterial small subunit ribosomal RNA", at positions 523 to 918 of the family's 1533-position model. The record is from RNAcentral.